Molecule: long non-coding RNA, 1512 nt
Organism: Musa acuminata AAA Group (dessert banana)
Lineage: Eukaryota; Viridiplantae; Streptophyta; Magnoliopsida; Zingiberales; Musaceae
Exons: 3
Source: RefSeq, a predicted model, not a curated record
UCGCAUACGAGCGUUUCCUCUUACAUUAGCUCCAUGUCGAUUACCUUUGCGAUCCUGUCCUGCCGUGGAGGCGAAAGCAAAGGUUAACUGCCGCACUAGUGGCACUGAUACAGACGUGAUGUGAUCUUUUUGUAUUAGAUAUGACUCAGCGACAGUAAGGAAUCGGCAUCGGUGUACAAGAAGUUUGGUGGUGGCAGAAGAAGGAAAAGCUUUGUUCGUCAAAGCAGGGGACUCCAAAUCUCAUCAGAUCGAUGCAUGGCAGUACAAGCGCUGAGGAUGUCUGACAUCUGGUCCACUUUUCCUCAGAACAUGAUGAAAUUAUUCACCUUCUCGGUACCAAUAUUCCUUGAGGAUAAGCUUUCAUGAACUGUGAUGCAGGAGGAGUUACUGAGUGUGCUUUGUUGUUAGCAAAAGGGAUGUCCUGGUGUGGACCUUGCGCCCCAUGAGCCUCCAUGGAAGUGAGGCCAGCGACAUGGGUCUCACGGCCAUCGGCCACUGGAACGCCUGCAGAGAGGCUCAUGUGAGUGUUUGGUUGGGCGCGAGACGUACCCGGACAACCCUGCGAGGCCCCAGCCACUGUUCGCGGCCACAUGGGAGGUCGAGACGAGGAGGGGGCAAGCCGGACUCGUCUGGUCAAGCCACCACAGUCGUGGCUCUGCUCUCGUCCGACUGUGGAAGGUGGCCGGUGGACGAGCCUCCGUCCAACACGUGGGUCUUGCGCCCGGGCUCGGUGCUCUCCUGUCGCAGGACAAGGGCGGUGGAGGCGCAGUGCCCUCGCGCGCGGCCAUUGAUGCCUUCCCCCCGGUCGGGCCUCACAGUCUUGUCGGGCCGGAAGGCCCACAGCCCAAACCCUAACAAACGACGGAGACGUCACAUCCCCACUGCCGAAAGUACGCGUCUUAUGCCCCAAAUCUCCGCUUUGUCCCCUCUUCCACCUCCAAUCCCUGUGCUCUCCACCCUCUCUCCCUCUCGUUCUUGUCCGAUAGCUCAAAAGAUCUACCAGGUGGUCAAACUAGAUGACUGUCAAAAAAAGCAUGGAUGAGUGGGUGAACAAGUCGGCCCCACCUCUUCCCUCCCCUCUCCCUUCUCUCUCUGUCCCAUUCUUGUUUGAUAGCCCAAAAAUCUACCUGCUGGUCAAACCGGUUGACCGUGUCAAAAGCAUGUGUGGGGGCGAACACGUAGGCCCCACGCGGGUGGUGGCAUCCAUUCCAGGAUCAACACCCAGACAAAGUUCUUAGAAACCAAGACAUGGGCUACGCGGGGUCAAACGCUUUGUCCUGCCGGCUUGACUGCAUCUGCAUCGCACACCGUUUAGGAGAUUCCUCCUGAUGUGUUCAACCAAAUAUAGUGCUGAUGAGAGUGAGUGAGUGAGUGAGAGAAAGAGGGAGAGAAUAGAAUCAGAUCAUUAGAAGAGUCCAAAUUCCUGGAUCACUCUGAUUUAUUAGGCAUCUUUAACAAGUUCGAUUGCUAUUCUUAAUAUCAUAUUACAAGCUUAAUUAGUUUGUUUUUGCA